This 388-nucleotide unclassified non-coding RNA is filed under the name uncultured Kickxellales. RNAcentral describes it as "sequence contains ITS2". Lineage: Eukaryota; Fungi; Kickxellomycota; Kickxellomycetes; Kickxellales. The record is from RNAcentral.
AACGCAUCUUGCACUAUUCGGCUUCCCCGGAUAGUAUGCCUGGUUGAGUGUCUGUGUAUCUCUCCUAAUUCAACAUUUGUUUGUUGGAAUAGGGACUUGGGGUCUUUCUCGUCAGCAAUAAUAAUUCUAUUGUUAUUACUGGUGAACCCUUUAAAUAUAGUAAGCUCCCAUCUAUUUCAUUAUCGGAAAUACGUAAACUUGGGGAUGGCGUCGUAGCAAUCACUAUUUCAGUAUUGUCGAAGCGCCUAUACAUACCUCUAAACUACGGUGCUAAUCCUUUAUUAGACUGGGCGAAGCUUAACGACUGGCAAAGUGCCAUGCUCCCUUUAUUUUGGAGUACACGAACAAUAAUGACCUCAACUCAGGUAGGACGACCCGCUGGACUUAA